GUCCACGCCGUAAACGAUGAGUACUGGGUGUCGCGGGUAGUUGACCCCUGCGGUGCCGUAGCUAACGCGUUAAGUACUCCGCCUGGGGAUUACGGUCGCAAGAUUAAAACUCAAAGGAAUUGACGGGGGCCCGCACAAGCGGUGGAGCAUGUGGUUUAAUUCGACGCAACGCGAAGAACCUUACCUGGGCUAGACAACGGUGGACCGCCCUAGAGAUAGGGCUUUCCCUUCGGGGACUGCCGGUUCAGGUGCUGCAUGGCUGUCGU
RNAcentral lists this ribosomal RNA (266 nucleotides) under uncultured bacterium. Its description in RNAcentral is "partial 16S ribosomal RNA". It matches the Rfam family "Bacterial small subunit ribosomal RNA", at positions 793 to 1055 of the family's 1533-position model. The record is from RNAcentral.